AACGAACGCUGGCGGCAGGCCUAACACAUGCAAGUCGAACGAGUAAGAGCCGUAGCAAUACGGAGUUCUGCUAGUGGCGCACGGGUGAGUAACGCGUGGGAACGUGCCUUGGAGUUCGGGAUAACAGUUGGAAACGACUGCUAAUACCGAAUAUUCCCUCAGGGGAAAGAUUUAUCGCUCCAAGAUCGGCCCGCGUAAGAUUAGGUAGUUGGUGGGGUAAUGGCCUACCAAGCCUACGAUCUUUAGCUGGUCUGAGAGGACGACCAGCCACACUGGAACUGAGACACGGUCCAGACUCCUACGGGAGGCAGCAGUGGGGAAUAUUGGACAAUGGGCGAAAGCCUGAUCCAGCCAUGCCGCGUGAAUGAUGAAGGCCUUAGGGUUGUAAAAUUCUUUUGCAGGGGAAGAUAAUGACGGUACCCUGCGAAUAAGCUCCGGCUAACUUCGUACCAGCAGCCGCGGUAAU
This 466-nucleotide ribosomal RNA is filed under the name uncultured bacterium. RNAcentral's name for it is "bacterial SSU rRNA". It matches the Rfam family "Bacterial small subunit ribosomal RNA", at positions 29 to 524 of the family's 1533-position model. The record is from RNAcentral.